GUGGCCAUAGCACGUUGAAAACACCGGUUCUGGUCUAGUUAUCGAAGUUGAGCCGCGUCGGGCUCGGUUAGUACUUACAUGAGUGAGCGGCUGGGAAUACCGGAUUUUGCGCCCGUU
RNAcentral lists this ribosomal RNA (117 nucleotides) under Fasciola hepatica (liver fluke). The record is from RNAcentral. Lineage: Eukaryota; Metazoa; Platyhelminthes; Trematoda; Plagiorchiida; Fasciolidae.